Molecule: unclassified non-coding RNA, 2475 nt
Filed under: Dendronephthya gigantea
Lineage: Eukaryota; Metazoa; Cnidaria; Anthozoa; Malacalcyonacea; Nephtheidae
Description: peptidyl-prolyl cis-trans isomerase-like 4, transcript variant X1
Source: RNAcentral
ACAAUAUGGCUGAAAAUAAGAGUGGUUUCUUGUUGAAUUUGUUGCCACAAAUAGUCAUUUAAAUUUUAAAUAAUGUCAGUUAUACUUGAAACAACUAUCGGGGAUUUAGUUAUCGACCUUUUUACCGAGGAAAGACCUAGAACAUGCCUGAAUUUUCUGAAAUUGUGUAAAGUCAAGUUUUAUAACUACAGCCUUUUCCAUUUUAUUCAGAGAAACUUUCUAGCUCAAACUGGGGACCCGACUGGGUCAGGUCGAGGUGGGGAGUCUAUAUUUCGAUCACUUUAUGGUGACCAAGCUAAAUUCUUCGAUGCGGAAACCAAACCAAGAAUCAAGCAUGUCAAGAAAGGAACUGUGUCCAUGGUGAAUAAUGGCGAUGACAUGCAUGGCUCCCAGUUCUUUGUUACUCUUGGUGAAAAUCUGGAUUACUUGGAUGGCAAGCAUACAGUGUUUGGUGAGGUUGCUGAAGGAUUCGAUAUCUUGGAAAAACUAAAUGAAACCAUUUGUGACGAUGGCCAUCGGCCAUUUCAAGAUGUGAGGAUAACUCAUACAGUCAUAUUGGACGACCCCUUUGAUGAUCCAGAUGGACUUCAAGUACCAGAUAGGUCACCUGAACCAACCAAAGAACAGCUUGAUAGUGGCCGUAUUGGUGCAGAUGAAGAAAUCGAUGAUACCAAAGGCAAAACAAUGGAAGAGGUCGAGGAAAUGAUUGAACAAAGGGAGUUUCAAGCUGGUACACAGAUCUUGGAAAUGGUUGGAGACAUACCAGAUGCCGAUGUUAAGCCUCCGGAAAAUGUUCUCUUUGUUUGUAAAUUAAAUCCUGUUACAACCGAUGAGGAUUUGGAAAUUAUAUUUUCUCGGUUUGGGCCCAUAAAAUGCUGUGAGAUAAUAAAAGAUUCUGUCUCCAAAGAGUCUCUUCAGUACGCCUUCAUUGAGUAUGAGAACGUGGAAGAUUGUGAGAGAGCUUACUUCAAAAUGGACAACGUUCUUAUCGAUGAUCGGCGAAUUCACGUUGACUUCAGUCAAUCUGUAGCAAAACUGGUUUAUAGCAAACCUGGGGCAAAGCCGGUGUACGAGUUGAAAAACAAAAAAGAGCCAGCUGGACCGAAACUCGAAAUCAAGGGUUCCUCGAGGAAGGACAAAUAUGAUUUAGUGUUUGAGGGUAACAGCGAGGAGGAAAAGAGUGAUGGAGAGAGACAGUCCAAGAGAAGAAAAGAAAGACGUAAGAAACGACGUAACUCGUCUAGCGAAGAAAGCAGUCCUGAACACGACAGAAAAACUGCCCAGCAUCAUAGACACAGUGAUCGCCGUAGCAAGAAUGAGCAGAACAGGGAGCCCAGUCCGAGGACGAAAUAUCAGAGAACAGAACCUGCUCGGAGUGACCGCAAACUUGAGCAUCGGAAGUCCGACGACAACCGCCAAAGACACGACGAUAGCCACCGAAAAUCUGACGAAAGUCACCGGCGGUCUGACAAUAGUUCCCGGAAGUAUGACGAAAGUCACCGGAAGUCCGACGAUAGUUACCGGAAAUCUGACGAGAGUCGUCGAAAAUCUGACGGAAGUCACCGAAAGUCUGACAAUAGUUACCGGAAAUCUGCUGAUACUUACAACAAGUCUGACGAUGGUUACCGGAAAUCGACCGAUGGAAAUCGGAAGUCAUACGACAAAGACCGGAAAGCUGAAGACAACUCGUACCGAAAAUCUGGAAGCAAAAGGUUAAAGACGUGAAGGUGAUAUUUUAUGACUGAAUGCCGAAGAAAACUUAUGAAGGCGACUCGUCCCAAACCUAAUACGGUAAGCCCGGGAUGAAAACGUUCAACGAACCUAUUGUCUGGCAGAGCUUAAAAAGUCCAACUUCAGGAAGAGAAAAAACGUUAUUUUUAAAAAUCGUCAAUAUUUUGAACUAAUAGGGGUAGUUUUAUUGAGAAUUUCAAAACUGCACACAAUUGUUUAUUAUAUUAAAUAUUUAAUUCGGAACAGCUUAUUACACACCAUUUACAACCUACCCUCGUUUAAAACCUGGUAACGAGGAUGUUUACAACCCGACCCACUCCACCAAAAUAGAAUGAAAAGCUUAAUCAGGGUCUAAAGCGCAAGUCGUCCAACCUCCUUCCCAGGCCCUUUUCUGGGCAAAUAUGGCGGGGUGAUGCCGUCCGUUUUCCUGGUGCAGCAUUUGACAUUUUAAACUAACUUUAUUGCUUACGUGGAAUUAGUUUAAGUAUAGGUACAUUAUUAUCAGUUUAUUUAUUUAUAGACGAGGAGAAUUCGAUUAAAUGUUGCCCCCAAGGCAAGAUAUAUCCCAGAGAUAUAUACAUAUCAUCAGGCUAUGGUGAAGAUCCGUAAAGUAAAGUGAGGUGUGGUAAGGUAAAGAGGUGUGAUAUGGUAUGCCACGGUGAGUGGCAAGGUAGGAGUAAUAAGUAAAGUUUAUUGGUAUGGUAUGGUGUGAUGUGGUAUGGUAUGGUAUGCUAUGCUAUGCUA